This 262-nucleotide long non-coding RNA is filed under the name Pan troglodytes (chimpanzee). RNAcentral's name for it is "long non-coding RNA NONPTRT014294". Lineage: Eukaryota; Metazoa; Chordata; Mammalia; Primates; Hominidae. The record is from RNAcentral.
UACACUAAAACACAAGCUGUUACACUAUAACACAGGCUGUUACUCUGUGUUAUCUAAAUGAGACAAACCUUCAUCAGGGAACUCAAUAAGUAGAGAAAUGACUCUAGAAAAGUGCCCCAUGGCAUCCCCCAAAGAGCUAAGUUUAGCAUGGUAUAGAGCAAUGGUUCUCAAAUAUUAAUGAGCUUUAGAAUUAUUGGAAAAAACUUGCUUAAAAUGCAUAUAUCUGAGCUUCAUUGCCCAGAGAUUUAGAAUUAGUAGAUCU